This 450-nucleotide ribosomal RNA is filed under the name uncultured bacterium. RNAcentral's name for it is "partial 16S ribosomal RNA". It matches the Rfam family "Bacterial small subunit ribosomal RNA", at positions 354 to 796 of the family's 1533-position model. The record is from RNAcentral.
GUGGGGAAUAUUGGACAAUGGGCGAAAGCCUGAUCCAGCCAUGCCGCGUGUGUGAAGAAGGUCUUCGGAUUGUAAAGCACUUUAAGUUGGGAGGAAGGGCAGUAAGUUAAUACCUUGCUGUUUUGACGUUACCGACAGAAUAAGCACCGGCUAACUUCGUGCCAGCAGCCGCGGUAAUAUGAAGGGUGCAAGCGUUAAUCGGAAUUACUGGGCGUAAAGCGCGCGUAGGUGGUUUUGUAAGUUGGAGGUGAAAUCCCCGGGCUCAACCUGGGAACUGCCUCCAAAACUGCAUGACUAGAGUACGGUAGAGGGUAGUGGAAUUUCCUGUGUAGCGGUGAAAUGCGUAGAUAUAGGAAGGAACACCAGUGGCGAAGGCGACUACCUGGACUGAUACUGACACUGAGGUGCGAAAGCGUGGGGAGCAAACAGGAUUAGAUACCCCGGUAGUCC